RNAcentral lists this transfer RNA (68 nucleotides) under Xyleus modestus. RNAcentral's name for it is "tRNA-Thr". It matches the Rfam family "tRNA". From Rfam's summary of the family: Transfer RNA (tRNA) molecules are approximately 80 nucleotides in length. Their secondary structure includes four short double-helical elements and three loops (D, anti-codon, and T loops). Lineage: Eukaryota; Metazoa; Arthropoda; Insecta; Orthoptera; Romaleidae. The record is from RNAcentral.
GUUUUAAUAGUUUAUAAAAACAUUGGUCUUGUAAACCAAAGAUAAGGAUAGCCCCCCACUUUAAACUA